RNAcentral lists this ribosomal RNA (476 nucleotides) under uncultured organism. Its description in RNAcentral is "partial 16S ribosomal RNA". It matches the Rfam family "Bacterial small subunit ribosomal RNA", at positions 332 to 799 of the family's 1533-position model. The record is from RNAcentral.
UACACUCCUACGGGAGGCAGCAGUGGGGAAUUUUGGACAAUGGGCGAAAGCCUGAUCCAGCAAUGCCGCGUGAGUGAAGAAGGCCUUCGGGUUGUAAAGCUCUUUUGUCAGGGAAGAAACGGUGAAAGCUAAUAUCUUUUGCUAAUGACGGUACCUGAAGAAUAAGCACCGGCUAACUACGUGCCAGCAGCCGCGGUAAUACGUAGGGUGCAAGCGUUAAUCGGAAUUACUGGGCGUAAAGCGUGCGCAGGCGGUUUUGUAAGUCUGAUGUGAAAUCCCCGGGCUCAACCUGGGAAUUGCAUUGGAGACUGCAAGGCUAGAAUCUGGCAGAGAGGGGUAGAAUUCCACGUGUAGCAGUGAAAUGCGUAGAUAUGUGGAGGAACACCGAUGGCGAAGGCAGCCCCCUGGGUCAAGAUUGACGCUCAUGCACGAAAGCGUGGGGAGCAAACAGGAUUAGAAACCCGUGUAGUCCCAUG